This 111-nucleotide non-coding RNA is filed under the name Enterobacter sp. CC120223-11. The record is from RNAcentral. Lineage: Bacteria; Pseudomonadati; Pseudomonadota; Gammaproteobacteria; Enterobacterales; Enterobacteriaceae.
AGAAACGAGGCGGUAUCUCAUUUAACCCUUGAAGCCACCGACCCGUUCAAAGUUUCUCUCUGAUAUGAAAAACGAAAGCCAACGUGAACUUUGCGGACCCCGUGGUCCGCU